Non-coding RNA from Triticum aestivum (bread wheat), 125 nucleotides. Lineage: Eukaryota; Viridiplantae; Streptophyta; Magnoliopsida; Poales; Poaceae. The record is from Rfam.
ACAAUACUCCCUUCGUUCCGAAUUACUUGUCGCAAAAAUGGAUGUAUGUAGACGUAUUUUAAUUCUUCAUACAUCCAUUUUUAUUCAUUUUCGCGGCAAGUUAUUCCGACCAGAGGUAGUAUAUU